RNAcentral lists this ribosomal RNA (308 nucleotides) under uncultured bacterium. Its description in RNAcentral is "bacterial SSU rRNA". It matches the Rfam family "Bacterial small subunit ribosomal RNA", at positions 28 to 334 of the family's 1533-position model. The record is from RNAcentral.
GACGAACGCUGGCGGCGUGCCUAACACAUGCAAGUCGAACGGAAGUAAGUGCUUCGGUAUUUACUUUAGUGGCGAACGGGUGAGUAACGCGUGAGGAACCUGCCUUUCAGUGGGGGACAACAGUUGGAAACGACUGCUAGUACCGCAUGAUGCAGCUGGGUCGCGUGACCCUGGCUGCCAAAGAUUUAUCGCUCUGAGAUGGCCUCGCGUCUGAUUAGCUGGUUGGCGGGGUAACGGCCCACCAAGGCGACGAUCAGUAGCCGGACUGAGAGGUUGACCGGCCACAUUGGGACUGAGACACGGCCCAG